AUGGUCACCGAGUCGUGCGGGUGAAAUCCUGCGCUCAGGUUCAGCGAUACGACAACGCGCAGCGUUGCCCGCAGGGUGAGGCCACAGGCCGAAUCAAUCCUGCACGACCCACCC
Molecule: small RNA, 114 nt
Filed under: Serratia marcescens
Lineage: Bacteria; Pseudomonadati; Pseudomonadota; Gammaproteobacteria; Enterobacterales; Yersiniaceae
Also listed under: 1 other name
Description: RtT sRNA
Rfam family: RtT RNA
About the family: This family represents a bacterial cis-regulatory element known as RtT RNA. The exact function of RtT is unknown although it is thought that it may be involved in changing the cellular response in relation to amino acid starvation.
Source: RNAcentral